CCCACAGCACUCUGAUGACGCAGCCAGGUGACCCUCUGAUGACGCAGCCAAGUGACUCUCUGAUGACGCAGCCAGGUGACCCUCUGAUGACGCAGCCAAGUGACUCUCUGAUGACGUAGCCAGGUGACUCUCUGAUGACGCAGCCAGGUGACUCUCUGAUGACGCCGCCAGGUGGCUCUCUGAUGACGCAGCCAGGUGACUCUCUGAUGAUGCAGCCAGGUGACUCUCUGAUGACGCAGCCAGGUGACCCUCUGAUGAUGCAGCCAGGUGACUCUCUGAUGAUGCAGCCAGGUGACUCUCUGAUGACGCAGCCAGGUGACCCUCUGAUGAUGCAGCCAGGUGACUCUCUGAUGACGCAGCCAGGUGACUCUCUGAUGAUGCAGCCAGGUGGCACUCUGAUGAUGUAGCCAGGUGACUCUCUGAUGACGCAGCCAGGUGACUCUCUGAUGAUGCAGCCAGGUGACUCUCUGAUGAUGCAGCCAGGUGACCCUCUGAUGAUGCAGCCAGGUGACUCUCUGAUGAUGCAGCCAGGUGACUCUCUGAUGACGCAGCCAGGUUCUGAUGAUGCAGCCAGGUGACUCUCUGAUGACGCAGCCAGGUGACUCUCUGAUGACGCAGCCAGGUGACUCUCUGAUGACGCAGCCAGGUGACUCUCUGAUGACGCAGCCAGGUGACUCUCUGAUGACGCAGCCAGGUGACUCUCUGAUGAUGUAGCCAGGUGACUCUCUGAUGACGCAGCCAGGUGACUCUCUGAUGACGCAGCCAGGUGACUCUCUGAUGACGCAGCCAGGUGACUCUCUGAUGACGCAGCCAGGUGCACCUCGGUAGAUC
RNAcentral lists this long non-coding RNA (831 nucleotides) under Salmo salar (Atlantic salmon). Its description in RNAcentral is "lncRNA (ENSSSAG00000118870.1)". The record is from RNAcentral. Lineage: Eukaryota; Metazoa; Chordata; Actinopteri; Salmoniformes; Salmonidae.